UACGGGAGGCAGCAGUAGGGAAUAUUGCACAAUGGGGGAAACCCUGACGCAGCAACGCCGCGUGAAGGAUGAAGGUUUUCGGAUUGUAAACUUCUUUUGUUAGGGACGAAAAAUGACGGUACCUAACGAAUAAGCUCCGGCUAACUACGUGCCAGCAGCCGCGGUAAU
This 168-nucleotide ribosomal RNA is filed under the name uncultured rumen bacterium. RNAcentral describes it as "partial 16S ribosomal RNA". It matches the Rfam family "Bacterial small subunit ribosomal RNA", at positions 340 to 524 of the family's 1533-position model. The record is from RNAcentral.